Molecule: ribosomal RNA, 251 nt
Filed under: uncultured bacterium
Lineage: Bacteria
Description: partial 16S ribosomal RNA
Rfam family: Bacterial small subunit ribosomal RNA
Source: RNAcentral
AAGCGAUGUGGAGCGAAACCCGAAAACGACACCCCCACGUUCGGAGUUGCAGGCCGAAACUUACGCCCUUCAUGAAGCUGGAAUUGCUAGUAAUGGCAGGUCAGCAUACUGCCGUGAAUACGUUCCCGGGCCUUGUACACACCGCCCGUCACACCAUGAGAGUUGGGAAUACCCGAAGCCUGUGAGCUAACUUAUAGAGGCAGCAGUCGAAGGUAGAAUCAAUGAUUGGGGUGAAGUCGUAACAAGGUAUC